AAAACAUGGCUCUUUGAGAUUUAUAUAUAAAGAGUCGGGCCUGCCCAGUGACGUAUUUUUAACGGCCGCGGUACUCUGACCGUGCGAAGGUAGCAUAAUCAUUUGCCCUAUAAUUGAGGGCUAGUAUGAAUGGUUUGACAUGAGCAUAACUGUCUCCUUAAAAUUUUAUAAAAUUUGGUUUUUAGGUGAAGAAACCUAAAUUAAAUUGAAAGACAAGAAGACCCUAUCGAGCUUUAGAAUAAUUAGUUAAAAAAUAUAAAUAAAACAAUUAAUUUUAAUUAAAAACUUUGGUUGGGGCGACUGAGGAACAUAUAAAGCUUCCUUAAUUAAACAAUGCUGAUAAGCAAUGAUCCAGGAAAUCUGAUUAAAAAAAUUAGUUACCGUAGGGAUAACAGCAUAAUCUUUUUUGAGAGCUCUUAUCGAAAAAAAGGUUUGUGACCUCGAUGUUGGACUAGGAUAUCCUAAAGAUGUAGAAGUCUUUAAUGGUUGCUCUGUUCGAGCAUAAAAAUCCUACGUG
This 517-nucleotide ribosomal RNA is filed under the name Oncomelania hupensis hupensis. RNAcentral describes it as "partial large subunit ribosomal RNA". It matches the Rfam family "Bacterial large subunit ribosomal RNA", at positions 1810 to 2602 of the family's 2925-position model. The record is from RNAcentral. Lineage: Eukaryota; Metazoa; Mollusca; Gastropoda; Littorinimorpha; Pomatiopsidae.